GAGUGGCGAACGGGUGAGUAAUACAUCGGAACGUGCCCUGUAGUGGGGGAUAACUAGUCGAAAGAUUAGCUAAUACCGCAUACGACCUGAGGGUGAAAGUGGGGGACCGCAAGGCCUCAUGCUAUAGGAGCGGCCGAUGUCUGAUUAGCUAGUUGGUGGGGUAAAGGCCCACCAAGGCGACGAUCAGUAGCUGGUCUGAGAGGACGAUCAGCCACACUGGGACUGAGACACGGCCCAGACUCCUACGGGAGGCAGCAGUGGGGAAUUUUGGACAAUGGGCGAAAGCCUGAUCCAGCAAUGCCGCGUGUGUGAAGAAGGCCUUCGGGUUGUAAAGCACUUUUGUCCGGAAAGAAAUGGCUCUGGUUAAUACCUGGGGUCGAUGACGGUACCGGAAGAAUAAGGACCGGCUAACUACGUGCCAGCAGCCGCGGUAAUACGUAGGGUCCAAGCGUUAAUCGGAAUUACUGGGCGUAAAGCGUGCGCAGGCGGUUGUGCAAGACCGAUGUGAAAUCCCCGAGCUUAACUUGGGAAUUGCAUUGGUGACUGCACGGCUAGAGUGUGUCAGAGGGGGGUAGAAUUCCACGUGUAGCAGUGAAAUGCGUAGAGAUGUGGAGGAAUACCGAUGGCGAAGGCAGCCCCCUGGGAUAACACUGACGCUCAUGCACGAAAGCGUGGGGAGCAAACAGGAUUAGAUACCCUGGUAGUCCACGCCCUAAACGAUGUCAACUAGUUGUUGGGGAUUCAUUUCCUUAGUAACGUAGCUAACGCGUGAAGUUGACCGCCUG
RNAcentral lists this ribosomal RNA (785 nucleotides) under uncultured Ralstonia sp. RNAcentral describes it as "bacterial SSU rRNA". It matches the Rfam family "Bacterial small subunit ribosomal RNA", at positions 93 to 875 of the family's 1533-position model. The record is from RNAcentral. Lineage: Bacteria; Pseudomonadati; Pseudomonadota; Betaproteobacteria; Burkholderiales; Burkholderiaceae.